This 547-nucleotide ribosomal RNA is filed under the name uncultured Glomeromycotina. RNAcentral's name for it is "SSU rRNA". It matches the Rfam family "Eukaryotic small subunit ribosomal RNA", at positions 548 to 1098 of the family's 1831-position model. The record is from RNAcentral. Lineage: Eukaryota; Fungi; Glomeromycota.
UUGGAGGGCAAGUCUGGUGCCAGCAGCCGCGGUAAUUCCAGCUCCAAUAGCGUAUAUUAAAGUUGUUGCAGUUAAAAAGCUCGUAGUUGAAUUUCGAGACCGGUUUAUUGGUCGUGCUUUUGUACGUACUGGUAUUAUUGGUUUCUCCUUUCUGACGAAUCUUAAUGCCAUUAAUUUGGUGUUUUGGGGAAUCAGGACUGUUACUUUGAAAAAAUUAGAGUGUUUAAAGCAGGCUCACGCUUGAAUACAUUAGCAUGGAAUAACGGAAUAGGACGUUGAUUCUAUUUUGUUGGUUUCUAGGAUCGACGUAAUGAUUAAUAGGGAUAGUUGGGGGCAUUAGUAUUCAAUUGUCAGAGGUGAAAUUCUUGGAUUUAUUGAAGACUAACUACUGCGAAAGCAUUUGCCAAGGAUGUUUUCAUUAAUCAAGAACGAAAGUUAGGGGAUCGAAGACGAUCAGAUACCGUCGUAGUCUUAACCAUAAACUAUGCCGACUAGGGAUCGGAUGAUGUUAAUUUUUUAAUGACUCAUUCGGCGCCUUACGGGAAAC